Molecule: transfer RNA, 74 nt
Filed under: Dipodomys ordii (Ord's kangaroo rat)
Lineage: Eukaryota; Metazoa; Chordata; Mammalia; Rodentia; Heteromyidae
Rfam family: tRNA
About the family: Transfer RNA (tRNA) molecules are approximately 80 nucleotides in length. Their secondary structure includes four short double-helical elements and three loops (D, anti-codon, and T loops).
Source: Rfam by way of RNAcentral
AGAAGUAUGGCUUAAUGGUAAGAGUGCAUGCUUAGCAAAGCAUGAGUCCCUGAGUUCAAACCCCAGUACUACUG